GCCUGGCAUGGUGGUGCAUGCCUGUAAUCCCAGUGGCUCAGGAGGCUGAGGCAGGAGAAUCACAAAUUCAAAGCUAGCCUCAGCAAAAGUGAGGUGCUAAGCAAUCAGUGAGACCCUGUCUUUA
This 124-nucleotide small RNA is filed under the name Marmota monax (woodchuck). Lineage: Eukaryota; Metazoa; Chordata; Mammalia; Rodentia; Sciuridae. The record is from RNAcentral.